RNAcentral lists this non-coding RNA (49 nucleotides) under unclassified sequences. RNAcentral's name for it is "ssNA-helicase RNA". It matches the Rfam family "ssNA-helicase RNA". Rfam says of the family: Firmicutes, Actinobacteria (1 example). Downstream gene The record is from Rfam by way of RNAcentral.
UGCCAUAAGGGAUAGUAUUACCCUUAUGGCUACACAGGUAGCAGUAGCA